UAGGGAAUCUUCCACAAUGGGCGCAAGCCUGAUGGAGCAACGCCGCGUGAGUGAAGAGGGUCUUCGGAUCGUAAAACUCUGUUGUUAGAGAAGAACACGAGUGAGAGUAACUGUUCAUUCGAUGACGGUAUCUAACCAGCAAGUCACGGCUAACUACGUGCCAG
This 164-nucleotide ribosomal RNA is filed under the name uncultured bacterium. RNAcentral describes it as "partial 16S rRNA". It matches the Rfam family "Bacterial small subunit ribosomal RNA", at positions 355 to 511 of the family's 1533-position model. The record is from RNAcentral.